UACGAAGGUCCCAAGCGUUGUUCGGAAUCACUGGGCGUAAAGGGAGCGUAGGCGGCGUGGUAAGUCAGAUGUGAAAUCCCGGGGCUCAACCCCGGAACUGCAUCCGAUACUGCCAUGCUAGAGGAUUGGAGAGGUAGCUGGAAUUCUUGGUGUAGCAGUGAAAUGCGUAGAGAUCAAGAGGAACACUCGUGGCGAAAGCGAGCUACUGGACAAUUACUGACGCUGAGGCUCGAAGGCUAGGGUAGCGAAAGGG
This 253-nucleotide ribosomal RNA is filed under the name uncultured bacterium. RNAcentral's name for it is "partial 16S ribosomal RNA". It matches the Rfam family "Bacterial small subunit ribosomal RNA", at positions 524 to 776 of the family's 1533-position model. The record is from RNAcentral.